AAGACAUGCAAGUCGUACGUGAAAGUUAGCAAUAAUGAGUAAAGUGGCGCACGGGUGAGUAAUAUUUAGGUAACGUACCCUUCCGCUGUGGAUAACCAGACGAAAGUUUGGCUAAUACAGAAUAGUCUAAUCUUAACUGCGGUUUUGAUUAGUAAAGCCGUAAGGCGCGGAAGGUCUGGCCUAAAUCCCAUUAGCUAGUUGGUAGGGUAAUGGCCUACCAAGGCUACGAUGGGUAGCUGUUCUUAGAGGAAGACCAGCCACACUGGAACUGGAACACGGUCCAGACUCCUACGGGAGGCAGCAGUUAGGAAUUUUGCGCAAUGGGGGAAACCCUGACGCAGCAACGCCGCGUGGAGGAUGAAGGCUUUCGGGUUGUAAACUCCUUUUAGCAGGGAAGAAAAAAAUGACGGUAUCUGCAGAAAAAGCACCGGCUAACUCU
RNAcentral lists this ribosomal RNA (439 nucleotides) under grassland soil clone sl1_224. RNAcentral's name for it is "bacterial SSU rRNA". It matches the Rfam family "Bacterial small subunit ribosomal RNA", at positions 50 to 504 of the family's 1533-position model. The record is from RNAcentral.